This 349-nucleotide unclassified non-coding RNA is filed under the name soil metagenome. RNAcentral describes it as "partial contains 5.8S ribosomal RNA, internal transcribed spacer 2, and large subunit ribosomal RNA". The stretch from base 4 to 119 matches the Rfam family "5.8S ribosomal RNA", at positions 39 to 154 of the family's 154-position model. The record is from RNAcentral.
GAUAAGAACGUAGCGAAAUGCGAUAAGUAAUGUGAAUUGCAGAAUUCAGUGAAUCAUCGAAUCUUUGAACGCACAUUGCGCCCGCCAGUAUUCUGGCGGGCAUGCCUGUUCGAGCGUCAUUUCAACCCUCAAGCCCAGCUUGGUGUUGGGGAUCGGCACAGGCGCCCUCGGGCGCCCGCCGUCCCCUAAAUCUAGUGGCGGUCCCGCUGCAGCCUCCUCUGCGUAGUAGUUUUCUCCUCGCAAGGGCAGCUCGGUGGCGACCUCGCCGUAAAACCCCCAACUUCUGAAAGGUUGACCUCGAAUCAGGUAGGAAUACCCGCUGAACUUAAGCAUAUCAAUAAGCGGAGGA